UGCUCAGAAUUAUCACUGGAGAAUUUCAAAACGCGACGACCAAGAUGAUAAACAGAACUUCGUAUCACGUCUCGUGGUCUCGUGAAAUCAUAUAAUUUUCGUUUCUAGAUAUAGUGCCAUUGAGAAGCCCGAGAAUAUUAAUUUAAAAACCAGACCGCUCGACGAUGGAGCUCAAUGAGCUGGAACGAUCUGUGAAACAACUGGGUGUAGUGCUUGACGAGUUUCCGAUCGGUGCGAUAUCACUGGAUGACUUUAAGCCGAUCGAGGAGAAGAUCCGGGAGACCAGGGAGUCACUGAAGCACCUGAACGCCAGGUCGUUGAUGCUUAGAGCAAAAUACAAACAAUACAUUGACACUGAACGCGAAGGAAGUGAGGAUGAUGCUGAAGACGCAUUGUUGAGCGUUGUGAGCGACACUCUCUUAAAUGCCAAGACUGUCAAGUUGUGCCUUCACAGUACCACCAUUCAAUCCAUCCUCAACAAUAAGGAAGGCAAUGCCGAGGAUCAAAAGAAGCUCUAUACUUACAUGAAUAAACUGUUCACUCUCAAUGACAAUGUUAUGGCCAUUCAGAAAGAGAUCGAAAAAGCAUCUCAGGAGCAGUUGGACCUAAAAUUCGAAUGUCAGAAGGCGUUGUUUGAUCAUAAAAAUUUUCUCAAGGAGCAGGAGCGGCUGCAAAGUGAAAGAUUGCAAAAGACUUACCCUGAGAUUGUAGAAAAUAAAGAUAAAAUGGAAAGAACCAUACGGAAAAUUAAUAUAAUGAAGAAACUCAUUAGGAACUUUAUAGCAGUAUCCAGUCACAUGCUAGAGAAGGAGCCUAUACUAGUGGAAAUGUUGGAAAGACACAGGGACUUGUUAAACGUCGAAACAAUAAUGAAAAUGUCACAGAGUAAUGAAGAGAAUACGCAUGACCACAUUUAUCGCUGUGUACACCGCUUUUCGAUCAACGAGCCAAUGGAAUGAAAGACACCGAGAAUAUAUCGGUCCUGGCCCGAUCCUUCUACUCAUCAAUUUACAAAUAUACAAAAAAAAGAAGAAAAGGAAAUGUGUCUUUCGAGCGGAGAUGGUCGUUUUAGAUUACAAGCCUUAAUUCCCAUUUUAAAUGUGUUUGCAACAAUCGUUCUCUCCGUGUAAGUUCGACAGCGGCGGUGGCGUUGGUGUCGGUGUCAUCGUGAUGGUAGUGUGCAGCACCGAGUCUCGUGAUGCAGAUCGGCUGCCGACACGCAGUAGGGUGACGGCUUCUCUCUCAGGAUCAGCGCCACCUGCGAUACCACCUGCUGUACCUGUGCCCGUACGUGCUCCCGUUCCUGCGCCCCGCUUGCCAGUCCUUGACGUCGUGGCGACAGCUUCCACGGUCUCGUCGGCACUAUUACCCGCGCACUGCACCGCCCCCCCGAGACCAACGGUAACGGACAGUCAUUUCUGCCUUCCACUUUUCUUCUUCUUGCGCUUGAAGAAGCAACAGCAUCUGGAAAUGAAGCAAACACUAAUAGGACUUAGAGUCAUCUCCUUAGCAGCGUCUUUCGUUGAUCAACACAUCGAGCAUGCAGCAAAAAUGAGAUAGUUGCAUUUGGCAUACGAUUGUAUGAUAUA
Molecule: unclassified non-coding RNA, 1589 nt
Filed under: Monomorium pharaonis (pharaoh ant)
Lineage: Eukaryota; Metazoa; Arthropoda; Insecta; Hymenoptera; Formicidae
Description: uncharacterized LOC105834879, transcript variant X1
Source: RNAcentral